CCUACGGGAGGCUGCAGUGGGGAAUAUUGCGCAAUGGGGGAAACCCUGACGCAGCAACGCCGCGUGGGGGACGAAGGUUUUCGGAUUGUAAACCCCUGUCCUAUGGGACGAUAAUGACGGUACCAUAGGAGGAAGCCACGGCUAACUACGUGCCAGCAGCCGCGGUAAUACGUAGGUGGCAAGCGUUGUCCGGAAUUACUGGGCGUAAAGGGCGCGUAGGCGGUACCCUAAGUUAGAUGUGAAAACCCGAAGCUUAACUUCGGACCUGCAUUUAAAACUGGGGAACUCGAGUGUCGGAGAGGAAAGCGGAAUUCCAAGUGUAGCGGUGAAAUGCGUAGAUAUUUGGAGGAACACCAGUGGCGAAGGCGGCUUUCUGGACGAUAACUGACGCUGAGGCGCGAAAGCGUGGGGAGCAAACAGGAUUAGAUACCCCUGUAGUC
Molecule: ribosomal RNA, 440 nt
Filed under: uncultured Eubacteriales bacterium
Lineage: Bacteria; Bacillati; Bacillota; Clostridia; Eubacteriales
Description: bacterial SSU rRNA
Rfam family: Bacterial small subunit ribosomal RNA
Source: RNAcentral